RNAcentral lists this ribosomal RNA (496 nucleotides) under uncultured bacterium. RNAcentral's name for it is "partial 16S ribosomal RNA". It matches the Rfam family "Bacterial small subunit ribosomal RNA", at positions 28 to 506 of the family's 1533-position model. The record is from RNAcentral.
GAUGAACGCUGGCGGCGUGCCUAAUACAUGCAAGUCGAGCGAACAGACGAGGAGCUUGCUCCUUUGACGUUAGCGGCGGACGGGUGAGUAACACGUAGGUAACCUACCUAUAAGACUGGGAUAACUUCGGGAAACCGGAGCUAAUACCGGAUAAUAUUUCGAACCGCAUGGUUCGAUAGUGAAAGAUGGCUUUGCUAUCACUUAUAGAUGGACCUGCGCCGUAUUAGCUAGUUGGUAAGGUAACGGCUUACCAAGGCAACGAUACGUAGCCGACCUGAGAGGGUGAUCGGCCACACUGGAACUGAGACGCGGUCCAGACUCCUACGGGAGGCAGCAGUGGGGAAUCUUCCGCAAUGGGCGAAAGCCUGACGGAGCAACGCCGCGUGAGUGAUGAAGGUCUUCGGAUCGUAAAACUCUGUUAUUAGGGAAGAACAAACGUGUAAGUAACUGUGCACGUCUUGACGGUACCUAAUCAGAAAGCCACGGCUAACUACGU